GUCCACGCCGUAAACGAUGAGUACUGGGUGUCGCGGGUAGUUGACCCCUGCGGUGCCGUAGCUAACGCGUUAAGUACUCCGCCUGGGGAUUACGGUCGCAAGAUUAAAACUCAAAGGAAUUGACGGGGGCCCGCACAAGCGGUGGAGCAUGUGGUUUAAUUCGACGCAACGCGAAGAACCUUACCUGGGCUAGACAACGGUGGACCUCCCCAGAGAUGGGGCUUUCCCUUCGGGGACUGCCGGUUCAGGUGCUGCAUGGCUGUCGU
Molecule: ribosomal RNA, 266 nt
Filed under: uncultured bacterium
Lineage: Bacteria
Description: partial 16S ribosomal RNA
Rfam family: Bacterial small subunit ribosomal RNA
Source: RNAcentral